Molecule: ribosomal RNA, 484 nt
Filed under: uncultured bacterium
Lineage: Bacteria
Description: partial 16S ribosomal RNA
Rfam family: Bacterial small subunit ribosomal RNA
Source: RNAcentral
AUUGAACGCUGGCGGCAUGCUUUACACAUGCAAGUCGAACGGCAGCGCGGGCUUCGGCCUGGCGGCGAGUGGCGAACGGGUGAGUAAUGCAUCGGAACGUGCCCAGUAGUGGGGGAUAGCCCGGCGAAAGCCGGAUUAAUACCGCAUACGACCUGAGGGUGAAAGCGGGGGACCGAAAGGCCUCGCGCUAUUGGAGCGGCCGAUUUCGGAUUAGCUAGUUGGUGGGGUAAAGGCUUACCAAGGCGACGAUCCGUAGCUGGUCUGAGAGGACGACCAGCCACACUGGGACUGAGACACGGCCCAGACUCCUACGGGAGGCAGCAGUGGGGAAUUUUGGACAAUGGGGGCAACCCUGAUCCAGCUAUGCCGCGUGCGGGAAGAAGGCCUUCGGGUUGUAAACCGCUUUUGUUCGGGAAGAAAUCCUCUGGGCUAAUACCCCGGGGGGAUGACGGUACCGGAAGAAUAAGCACCGGCUAACUACGUG